GAGGCUAUAGCUCAGGUGGUAGAGCACAUACUUAACAUGCACAAGGUCCUGGGUUCAAUCCCCAGUACCUUCU
Molecule: transfer RNA, 73 nt
Filed under: Camelus bactrianus (Bactrian camel)
Lineage: Eukaryota; Metazoa; Chordata; Mammalia; Artiodactyla; Camelidae
Also listed under: 2 other names
Rfam family: tRNA
About the family: Transfer RNA (tRNA) molecules are approximately 80 nucleotides in length.
Source: Rfam by way of RNAcentral